This 550-nucleotide long non-coding RNA is filed under the name Spirodela polyrhiza (greater duckweed). RNAcentral's name for it is "long non-coding RNA (SPOL_LNC001564)". Lineage: Eukaryota; Viridiplantae; Streptophyta; Magnoliopsida; Alismatales; Araceae. The record is from RNAcentral.
UAGAGAGAGAGAGAGAGAGAGAGAGGGUGUAGCAGGAAACUAGUCCCUUCAUAUAUAGCAAACAAGGGGUUUGGUCCAUCUUCAGGAGCAGGUGGGGGGGAGAGGAAGAGCUUUCACAGGGAGCGGGAGACAUCUCACGUUGGGGGGGAGCAGGUGGGGAGGAGGUCGGCUGGUCGGAGGGAGAGGUUGGACUCUGAUACCGUUAUUACAAACUCUCGGUAUUACUCUCCAAGCAUGGCAAACUGUAGAAGUGGGAGCGGCGGCGGUAUCAGGUGGAGAUGGCGACGGCAGGAGUGGCGGCGACAUCGACCAUCCUGGCCUUCUUGUUGUUGAGGAUGUCCUCGGGGCUCGUGCCGGCGGCGAGGGGAACGGUGGUCUUCUUCGCCUCGUAGGCCGAGAGGUGGACCCCCAGAGCGGCCCUUCCCGAGGGAUCGGGGUUGCUCGACCACUGCGCGUCCCACGACAUCGCCGCCGCCGUGCUGCAGGCCACGCUUGGGCCCCCGGGGACGGUCAGCCUGGCGGAGUUCUGCAGGAAGGAGGGACAGAGAGG